GUAAAAACCCUAUUUGUAAACAACCAGUCCUUUAACUAAGCGCUACGUCAUAAACACGGCGCGCUUGGAAGACCACGAUGUCAUCUUCCUUCUGUCAGGAGGAUCAAAGUGAAGCUACAGGAGUUUCAUUAACGUCAACAACUUGGACCGAACGGUUUGUUUUGCUUGAUGAAGAGCAGGAAGGGCAGCCUGGAGAGAAAGAGAAGCCGGGUUGAGCCCACUACCAUCAUCCACGUACCACGAGGAAGAUGAGGGAGAGAAAUGAUCCUACCAUUAAAGAGACUGUGAAAAGAACGUUGAGAACAUCACCACUCUACAGGAAGACACAGUCCAGUAAUGGGUGUCAGAAGUUCAGUAGUGAACGACAGAAACAAACAAUCCAAAUUACCUGCAGAACGCCCUUGAUGGACGCUUCAGCUGCAUCGUCAGACUGGUGAGACAGCAAGAUGCCAACUUUAAUGCCAAUUUAUUUGUGUAACAUUCUGUGACCAAAUGUAUAGAUAACUUUUUGUAGAUUGUAAAAAUAGA
Long non-coding RNA from Pleuronectes platessa (European plaice), 528 nucleotides. RefSeq lists it as uncharacterized. The transcript is spliced from 4 exons. The record is from RefSeq and is a predicted model, not a curated record. NCBI's taxonomy places the organism in Eukaryota, Metazoa, Chordata, Actinopteri, Pleuronectiformes, Pleuronectidae.